This 367-nucleotide ribosomal RNA is filed under the name uncultured bacterium. RNAcentral's name for it is "bacterial SSU rRNA". It matches the Rfam family "Bacterial small subunit ribosomal RNA", at positions 527 to 896 of the family's 1533-position model. The record is from RNAcentral.
GUAGGUGGCAAGCGUUGUCCGGAUUUAUUGGGUUUAAAGGGUGCGUAGGCGGUCUUUUAAGUCAGUGGUGAAAUACUUCAGCUUAACUGGAGAGGUGCCAUUGAUACUGGAGGACUUGAGUACUGAUGAGGUAGGCGGAAUGGACGGUGUAGCGGUGAAAUGCUUAGAUAUCGUCCAGAACACCGAUAGCGAAGGCAGCUUACUAAGGAGUAACUGACGCUGAGGCACGAAAGUGUGGGGAUCAAACAGGAUUAGAUACCCUGGUAGUCCACACUGUAAACGAUGAUUACUCGAUGUUGGCGAUACACAGCCAGCGUCUUAGCAAAAGCGAUAAGUAAUCCACCUGGGGAGUACGCCGGCAACGGUG